GACCCGAGACCGUCGAUGUUUCCCGAGGCGAAGCCUUCGCCUCGGGAAACAUCGACGGUCAAGG
Paramuricea clavata is the source of this 64-nucleotide non-coding RNA. The record is from the annotation of a GenBank genome assembly. Lineage: Eukaryota; Metazoa; Cnidaria; Anthozoa; Malacalcyonacea; Plexauridae.